AACCUUUACACUGCACGACAGUGCGAUAAGGGAAUCCCAAGUGCGUAGGCAUAGAGCCUACGCUUUUGUCCACCGUAGGGAGGUGGACGAAUAAGGGCUGGGCAAGACCGGCGCCAGCCGCCGCGGUAAUACCGGCAGCCCGAGUGAUGGCCGAUCUUAUUGGGCUUAAAGCGUCCGUAGCUGGCCGCACAAGUCCAUCGGAAAAUCCACCCGCUCAACGGGUGGGCGUCCGGUGGAAACUGUGUGGCUUGGGACCGGAAGGCGCGACGGGUACGUCCGGGGUAGGAGUGAAAUCCCGUAAUCCUGGACGGACCGCCGAUGGCGAAAGCACGUCGCGAGAACGGAUCCGACAGUGAGGGACGAAAGCUAGGGUCUCGAACCGGAUUAGAUACCCGGGUAGUCCUAGCCGUAAACAAUGCCUGCUAGGUGUGGCUCCCACUACGAGUGGGUGCUGUGCCGUAGGGAAGCCGCUAAGCAGGCCGCCUGGGAAGUACGUCCGCAAGGAUGAAACUUAA
RNAcentral lists this ribosomal RNA (515 nucleotides) under uncultured archaeon. RNAcentral describes it as "bacterial SSU rRNA". It matches the Rfam family "Archaeal small subunit ribosomal RNA", at positions 345 to 859 of the family's 1478-position model. The record is from RNAcentral.